GCUCCGGUGGCCUAAGUGAUUAGAGCGUCCGCGGCGGAUGCGUAAGGUCGCGGGUUCGAUCCCCGGCCGAGUCA
Molecule: non-coding RNA, 74 nt
Organism: Potamilus streckersoni
Lineage: Eukaryota; Metazoa; Mollusca; Bivalvia; Unionida; Unionidae
Source: the annotation of a GenBank genome assembly